Molecule: ribosomal RNA, 253 nt
Filed under: uncultured bacterium
Lineage: Bacteria
Description: partial 16S ribosomal RNA
Rfam family: Bacterial small subunit ribosomal RNA
Source: RNAcentral
UACGAAGGGGGCUAGCGUUGCUCGGAAUCACUGGGCGUAAAGGGUGCGUAGGCGGGUCUUUAAGUCAGGGGUGAAAUCCUGGAGCUCAACUCCAGAACUGCCUUUGAUACUGAAGAUCUUGAGUUCGGGAGAGGUGAGUGGAACUGCGAGUGUAGAGGUGAAAUUCGUAGAUAUUGGGAAGAACACCGGUGGCGAAGGCGGCUCACUGGCUCGUAACUGACGCUCAUGCACGACAGCGUGGGGAUCAAACAGG